CAGUAGCCGCGGUAAUACGAAGGGGGCUAGCGUUGUUCGGAAUUACUGGGCGUAAAGGGCGCGUAGGCGGCCGAUCAAGUCAGGCGUGAAAGCCCCGGGCUUAACCUGGGAACUGCGUUUGGGACUGGUUGGCUUGAGUUCGGGAGAGGAGAGUGGAAUUCCCAGUGUAGAGGUGAAAUUCGUAGAUAUUGGGAAGAACACCGGUGGCGAAGGCGGCUCUCUGGACCGAUACUGACGCUGAGGCGCGAAAGCGUGGGGAGCAAACAGGAUUAGAGACCCCUGUAGUCCCUGUCUCUUAUAA
Molecule: ribosomal RNA, 301 nt
Filed under: uncultured bacterium
Lineage: Bacteria
Description: partial 16S ribosomal RNA
Rfam family: Bacterial small subunit ribosomal RNA
Source: RNAcentral